RNAcentral lists this unclassified non-coding RNA (155 nucleotides) under uncultured Curreya. RNAcentral describes it as "sequence contains ITS2". Lineage: Eukaryota; Fungi; Ascomycota; Dothideomycetes; Pleosporales; Cucurbitariaceae. The record is from RNAcentral.
ACACCCUCAAGCUCUGCUUGGUGUUGGGCGUCUGUCCCGCCUUUGUGCGCGGACUCGCCUCAAAGCGAUUGGCGGCUGGUACCACGGCCUGGAGUGCAGCAGAAUUGCGCUCCUCGUCCGGCGGUCUGGCUCCCAGAAGCGAACUUUUAUUAUUU